UGAGGUCUCAUUUGCCUCCUGAGCUCUGCGCUCAGUGAUUGGAUCCUGGAGUUGGCCGUAGGGCAUUUAGGUAAGCACGGUAACCUGUCAGGUGACCGCCCUCUCCUCUUCCGGGUGUCCGGCUUUGUGUGGGUAGCAGGUAGCACGAAAGGUUGCUGUAGCUGCAUCAGGGUGAGCGUAGGCUCCGACUGGGUUGCGUCCAGGUAUUGGCGAGUUUGGAACCGCAUUACGUGGCGGGUGUGUGGCCACGCUCAGCUGAUGCUUCUGAGCGACGGCUUCUACCGACAGUUGUUGUCUCCUCUCCAUCUCCGGCCGCAACAAGUUGCGAGCAGUUACCGCUCGACCGUGUAGAUUGCAGAGCCCAGCGUGUCUACUGCUUCCGGCUGCUGUUUUGUUCACCAAGGAUUCACCCAAAGCUGACCAGCACAUUGCACACCUGCCCCUGGAAGACCCAUCUACUCAAGAGUACAGUCCCUCUGUUGAAAGAUAAGUGGCAUUUGUUCAACAUAGUGGAAGUGCAUUUGUUUUAGAAUGCCCGUGUAACAUGGUGGAAUUGUACUAAUCAGUGUUUGUGGGUUUGCUCCCUCUCUUUUCAGCCAGGUGCUCUGGGCCUACGCGAGUGGCAGGACGAGUCCCCGGGUGGUGGAUCUACUUCGGGUUGGUUCACAUUUCGGGUGCCCCUCCCCCUUUCAGUUUCCAGCUUUGGCUGAUCACUUGUGGUGUAAUCAAAUAUACUGCUACUUUCCCCCUGUUGUUGCCCUGCCAGUCGUGGUAGGUCUCUGCCCUAGGCUAGUCCCCUUAAUUCCCCCCCCCUUUUUCUCAUACCUUGUGGACCUAGUGUGGCUACCAAAGCCAGCCUUGUAAUAACAGGUGUGCAGUGUUGCUGGUGUGUGCGUGUUUGGUUGUGUGUUUGUGUGCAUUGUUGCUGGUGUGUGCGUGUUUGAUUGUGUGUGGGUGUGUGUGUGUGUGUUUGUCCUGUUGUGUCAUUGGGGAGGUCCAGAGUUGGCCAUCUUGGCCUCCGGGUAGUGACCCGAGUAUUGUCUAUGUCCUUUUGUCAAAGUUUAAUAAAUAUCUCUUG
Long non-coding RNA from Engraulis encrasicolus (European anchovy), 1078 nucleotides. RefSeq lists it as uncharacterized. Lineage: Eukaryota; Metazoa; Chordata; Actinopteri; Clupeiformes; Engraulidae. The transcript has 5 exons. The record is from RefSeq and is a predicted model, not a curated record.